AGCACCUGGAGCAGCCAGCAGGUAAAUAUGCUGUCAUAUCUGUACAGAAUGGAAAACUAGAGAACUCCAAUAGCGCUAGCCCUACUACAUUUCCGGCCCGCCACCCGCUAGGUCAUGCUCCAUUGCAUCCGAGUGGCCGAGAGAUUUAAUAAAGAUCUUGGGUGGAGAACCUUCGACGCGGGCCACCCCAUUAUUACAUCGAAAAAAACAAAAGAAAUACGAGAAAAAAAGUAAAUAAAACGAUGAUUUCAUUUGGAAAUG
Drosophila melanogaster (fruit fly) is the source of this 261-nucleotide non-coding RNA. The record is from Ensembl. NCBI's taxonomy places the organism in Eukaryota, Metazoa, Arthropoda, Insecta, Diptera, Drosophilidae.